Molecule: long non-coding RNA, 138 nt
Filed under: Mus musculus (house mouse)
Lineage: Eukaryota; Metazoa; Chordata; Mammalia; Rodentia; Muridae
Description: predicted gene, 29918
Source: RNAcentral
AGAGCAAGAAGUAAGAGCAUUCUCAGUGAGGACAGCCAACACUGUCCACCCCGGCCCUCAGUUGCUGGAGGUCCUCACCUCUUCCCGGCCACAGGAGACCAGGUCACAGGCCCCACAACAACUCUCCUUGAGUGUGAG